AACGCACAUUGCGCCCUUUGGUAUUCCAUAGGGCAUGCCUGUUCGAGCGUCAUUUCACCCUUCAAGCUCUGCUUGGUGUUGGGCGUCUGUUCCACUGUGUGUGAACUCGCCUCAAAUUUAUUGGCAGCUGGUAUGUUGGCUUUGAGCGCAGCAGAAUUGCGUCUUCAAGUCUGGCAAACUAGCAUCCAAAAGUAAUUUUUAUCAUCUUGACCUCGGAUCAGGUAGGGAUACCCGCUGAACUUAA
Molecule: unclassified non-coding RNA, 244 nt
Filed under: uncultured Pleosporales
Lineage: Eukaryota; Fungi; Ascomycota; Dothideomycetes; Pleosporales
Description: sequence contains ITS2
Source: RNAcentral